CAUUAGAAUUGCUAAAAGCCAAGGACGUAUAGAAAAUCAAAAUUAAAAAUCAAAGAAUUGCUUACCUUAGAAAAAAUUCUAUAAUGUUUGCAUCUAAACAAAAGUAAAAUAAAAAUAAAAAUAAUAAGAUUACUCUUCGUGCAAAGGAGGUAGUAGUAGAAAAUUGUAAAAAGAGGAGUCGGAAAAUAGUAGUAGAAAAAAACUAGAAGUAUAGGUUGCUGGUCCAAGAUUUUUAUUGAAGCAAUUUUCUCAUAACUUGGGCCAAUCUGAAUUCAAGGGAAGGCAGCCCCAUCCAUGAGGGAUCCAGGGCGAUUCUAUAUUCUCUCUCUCUCUCUCUCUCUUUUUUUUCCCUUAUGUAACGACGUAGAGCUCCUUAAUUUGGGGGGGGGGGGGGGGGGGUUGCGGUUGUUUUCUUGUUUUUCCUAUGUCUGUGUUUCCCGGAGGUUUUUUUUGUUGCGGUUCUGAGGCGUAGAG
This 474-nucleotide long non-coding RNA is filed under the name Physcomitrium patens. RNAcentral's name for it is "long non-coding RNA (PPAT_LNC010774)". The record is from RNAcentral. Lineage: Eukaryota; Viridiplantae; Streptophyta; Bryopsida; Funariales; Funariaceae.